RNAcentral lists this ribosomal RNA (580 nucleotides) under uncultured rumen bacterium. RNAcentral's name for it is "bacterial SSU rRNA". It matches the Rfam family "Bacterial small subunit ribosomal RNA", at positions 168 to 766 of the family's 1533-position model. The record is from RNAcentral.
GCCGCAUAAGCGCACAGCAUGGCAUCAUGCAGUGUGAAAAACUCCGGUGGUACAAGAUGGGCCCGCGUUGGAUUAGCUAGUUGGUGGGGUAACGGCCCACCAAGGCGACGAUCCAUAGCCGGACUGAGAGGUCGAACGGCCACAUUGGGACUGAGACACGGCCCAGACUCCUACGGGAGGCAGCAGUGGGGAAUAUUGCACAAUGGAGGAAACUCUGAUGCAGCGACGCCGCGUGAGUGAUGAAGUAUUUCGGUAUGUAAAGCUCUAUCAGCAGGGAAGAAAUUGACGGUACCUGACUAAGAAGCCCCGGCUAACUACGUGCCAGCAGCCGCGGUAAUACGUAGGGGGCAAGCGUUAUCCGGAUUUACUGGGUGUAAAGGGAGCGUAGACGGCGAUGCAAGUCUGAAGUGAAAACCUGGGGCUCAACCCCAGGAUUGCUUUGGAAACUGUAUUGCUAGAGUACCGGAGGGGUAAGCGGAAUUCCUAGUGUAGCGGUGAAAUGCGUAGAUAUUAGGAGGAACACCGGUGGCGAAGGCGGCUUACUGGACGGCAACUGACGUUGAGGCUCGAAAGCGUGGGG